RNA transcript from Rosa chinensis, 4751 nucleotides. It is a transcript of the gene named putative NAC domain-containing protein 94, with no coding region annotated. The transcript is spliced from 5 exons. NCBI's taxonomy places the organism in Eukaryota, Viridiplantae, Streptophyta, Magnoliopsida, Rosales, Rosaceae. The record is from RefSeq and is a predicted model, not a curated record.
UUUCAGUUCAAAGCACUAGACGUGAAGUCGCGUGCAUACAACCUCACUCUUUCCUCUGCACUUCAGAGCAACAACAAAAAAAACACCGAUCAAAAUCAGCUAUUCAGAGUGAAAGAGAUGAGCUGCAGCGACUUCACAGUUCCGCCGGGAUACCGAUUCCAUCCCACCGACGAGAAGCUGCUUAGUGACUUGGAGAAGAAGAAUCAGUGCAAGGACUCCGAGAUCACCACCAUCAUCCCUGAAAUCGAUGUGUGCAAGCACGAGCCUCGCGAGUUACCAGAACUGGCAUUCACAAGGGCGCAAAAUCUGGGCAGGAAGUUUUUCUCUUUUUUCUUCUUCUGGUUUGCAUGGGCAGAGUCUUGGGACAGUCAGGGCAAGUGGUACUUCUUCACUCCGCGUGAAUACAAGUACCCUAACAGCAAACGCUCCAACAGGACUACAGGGGAAGGGUUCUGGAAGAUCACAGGCAAGGACCGCGACAUCAAGGCCCCUGGCUCCAAAGCUGUGAUUGGGAGAAAGAGGACCUUAACCUUCUACAAACGUGGAGUGCCGAAACCCCAGAAGACUGGCUGGGUCAUUCAUGAGUUUUAUCUCAUUGAGGCACAUUCUAAUCCUCCUAAGCAGAUAGGGGACUUUGUUGUCUGUUGCUUGAAGUAUAAGUCAGACAACUCUGAUCAUGAUAAGGAUGCCCCAUUCUUCGAUCGAGGUAGUACUAGCUGCAGUAUGGCCUCCAAUGUUGAAAAUCAAGCUGAAGAAAAUUGGGCAUUAAUUGAGCAGGUUAAUGUUGUUCCAAUUCAUAAUGGAAACGAUGAUGAAGCUGAAACUGGUGGUGGUAUGAUUACACAAGAAGAGGAAUACCUGGCUUUAAAGGAACUGCAAGAUGCUCUUCAGAUUCCCAUUGGCAAUCCUCAUGAAUUCCAAGGCACGCAAAAUGAUCCUUGUCGUAUAGAUAAGAAUGAUCUUAUUUCCUCUGUUGAAGGCCGACCUGAUAAAAGCAAUUCAUCUGAUGUGAUUGAAGAGCCACUAGAUAACCCAGAAAAUCUGGAUUCACUAAUUGAUCUGCCUGCGCUGCCUCAACUGCAUCAGCUACAUCAGUCACCAAUGUAUACGACCAAUGACCAUAAUGAUGUAUGUCGUAAGAGGACAUAUCCAUUUGAGGAUAAUGACCCUUCACUUACGAAGAAGAAUAGUAUUUCAACCAAUGAUGACGACGAAUUAGUUAGCAACACCGUAUCUAGUUCAGAAAAUCAAGCUGCAAAUAUGAUUCCAGAGAGAUAUUCUCAACCAGGAGCAAAUCUGGGAUCAGACCAUGAUUCAUUUCUGCCAAAGGAUUACGUCUAUACACUACCAUCAAUAAACGGAGGACCGGAAGAUUUUCCCCAUGACAAUAAUUUUAUUGAGUGGGAUGAUUUGCCAUCCUUAUACGAAGGUAUGGACUAUUCUCCCGCAAAGUUCUCACAUACAGUUACUGAUGGUGGUAGAGGAGUAAACAGUGACGGAAACACCGAAGUAGUAGAUGGAUCGAUAUUAUUCUGCAUUAGCCAUUGGAGCAAUGCUCCAGUGUAGCUAAUGAAGAGAAAUUGAAAAUUGCUGAUUGAAGUUGAUUUUUUUUUUAAAUCAUUACAGAAGAGAACACAAAAAUACUCCCAGCUGCUAUCAUACAAUAAGAUCACAUAUGAUUGUUAAGAGAGAUGUCAGAUGUGCAGUUCAAUAUGUGGUUGUGCUUGGUCUUCUUGGCCUGCAAUGUAGCAACAAGCUUUGUCUAUUGUACUUGGGUGAGAGAGCAUGAGUUGUCCCUAAUUGUCUUGUGCUGGAGUGUUUUGUUCUCUUGUGCAGCCUUGUAAUCUUAUGCUUUUCUUCGUAUCAUCCCCCCGCAAGCUGAUGUGUGAUGUGAAGCAACCAGCUUGGAAGUUAGAUGACGAGAACUAUGCCUUGGAAGACUGUGUGAAGUAUGUUGGCUAAGUUUGGCAUAGAGUUUUGAACAAAGCAAAAAUGAGCAGAAAACAAAAACAUGGAACUGAGAGACUAAGCCAGGGUAAUAGCAAGAGAAGAGCAGGAUACAGAGUCCUGACAAGGAAGAGAGAGUUUGCAAGCAUGGGAAAAGGAAAAUGUAAAUAAAGGAAAUAGAGGAUGUCAGGAGAAAGAGGGAAUAUAGAUUUAAAAACACAGAAGAUGAGAAAGGAGAUGGACUUGAUUAUAUAGAAGAUGAGUAAUGUUUUUGUUCUUUUGGGGUGAUGAAGAAGUGACUGCCAUGGUAGGUAUGAGAAGAAAACCAUGAGUGAGCAGGAUGAAGAGAAGAAGAAAGAGAUGGAGAAACUUUUAAAAGAGAGGUAGAAGAAAAUGGAUAUAAGAUUACUGAACCAGAUGAUGAGGAAAACUCAUAACUAGGUGAAGAUCGAGGAAACAUAGGAGAAGCAAAUACGAAGUAGAAGAUAGAUGUCGUUGCAGAAGAGAGGCUAAUGAAGAAGAUAGAUAUGCAAUGACGCUGUGCAAUCGAAAAGUGAAACUAGAUCACUGUUGUUAUGCAGUGCGAGUUAGAAGAGAGAGCAUUAGGAGAAGAUCGUUCUCUGGAAUAUGGGGAGCGCUUGGAUCCAAAAAAGAAGAGCUUGAUCAGCAGGAAACAACAAACUGUUGCCAACGAGGGGUAUGAGAGGCUUUAGGAGAGAGAAUAAUAUGUUGAGAGGAGGCGGACCCCUUGGAGGGGAUUAGAGAGCUGUUAAGCAAGAGUCUAAAUGAAUACGAUUUUCUUUUGUAGAGAGAUGAAAAAGAGGUAGCUUGUAGGAGCAGAGGGAGUAAGAGAGCAAAUGAACAGAGAGAUCGGUUUGCUAUUCUCCAAACAACAACCUAAGCUUAAUUGGAAGGAAGCUAUGGAGGAGAAGGGAUGUCGGGAUACGGUGGGGAAUUGAAACAUGGUGCUUCUUUCUGCCAUGAUGGUGCUAGAAAAGAUAUCAAGGGAAAAGGGAAUUGAGACUGAAAAUUGAAGUGAAAAUUAAAGAUCUUAGCUUGAGGACAUAACAAGAAUGUGAAGAAAAAAGUAAACGGACUUGAAUUGAAAAUUGAACUAAGAAGAAGGAUUCAAAGUGCUAAAAUCGGUUUUACUCUAUACACCCAGGGAGAGUUUUGGAGUUCAUAGGAUCAAGAGCUGUUAGGCAGAUUGCUCUGAUACCAUGAAGAGAAAUUGAAAAUUGCUGAUUGAAGUUGAUUUUUUUUAAAUCAUUACAGAAGAGAACGCAUAAAUACUCCUAGCUGCUAUCAUACAAUAAGAUCACAUGUGAUUGUUAACAGAGAUGUUAGAUGUGCGGUUCAAUAUGUGGUUGUGCUCGGUCUUCUUGGUCUGGAAUGUAGCAACUAGCUUUGUCUAUUGUACUUGGGUGAGAGAGCACGAGUUGUCCCUAAUUGUCUUGUGCUGGAGUGUUUUGUUCUCUUGUGCAGCCUUUGUAAUCUUAUGCUUUUCUUCAAUCAAACUUUAUUUAUAGGAGAAUAUCAAAAGGACGCCUCAGUGAUAAUGCGUCUCUAACUCACAUUAUUACAGUCGGUGAUAUUCUCCUGCAAAUGAUUCAAUGAUCUCCAAGUUAUAUGAACCGCUCAGCUGUGUUGAUUGGCAUAGAAUCACAGCUAUUCCGCAUUUCUUGUACUGGUGGCUUUGGAAACUUCUUAAUCGUUUUGGCAUUCAAUUACAACUUAGGACAGCUGCAAUUAUUUUGUACCUGUUUUUCUUAUCUUUUUCUCUUGGCAGCGGGGGAGGCAUGGUGUCACAGAAUCCCUCAGUGAACUUUUGGUUGAAAGAGAGACCGGCGAAUGCAUAUGGUUCAAAUGCAUCUGGAAGUCUACCCUUCUCUGAAUGUGACGAGUCCAUAAAGAUGUCUUUUCUCAUAAGCAGUUCAUUGGAGGUGGAGCUUCCUCUGUCAGCAUUACUACCUAUAUUCAUAAUUCCUCAGAUCGUCUUGUCAUUAGAAUUACCAAUAUUCCGUCCUCUAAUCAAACAUCGUGUCAACCUAAGUAUUGAUAUUUGUUCCUCAUAUCCAGUCUUCAAAUGUCCUAAAAUCAAAGGACAUACCUAUCCACAUCCACUUCUUCUGAUCCCCAGUAGUGAAUCCUCAAGACCACCAAUAGUUGUUCCUCAAACAAUUAGCCUGCAAUUAGUCUGUCCUUAAGAUCAAAGGACAUAUUCAAAACAUCAAUAUCAUCCAAUAUCCAUCAUGGAGUCAAACAUGGGAGGUGCUCCUACAAGAUUCCGACUGCAGAGCAGCAUCACAAGCCAAGGUCAGUGAAGCUGCAGAGGCAUUAUAUUGCUGUUUACUGCCCCAGAAGAAACUGAAAGUCCUUGAAGCAGACAACAGUUUGAAGCUGGCAGCAAUUUAAAGGAUUCUUUCAUUUUCCAGGAUGCAACUCCUUUCAAUCCGUAAAGCAGACCAAAGUCAUAGUUCUAGCCUAAAAGACCACUAUGGGCAACGCAACUGUUGCAUAGUCAGUAAUCUGGAAGCAGAGUUUCAUAGGACCAGCUUCUACACGGUUGCGGGGGUCUCAAAGACAUAUAAGUAAUAAUCAGACAGCAGUAUUCUGUAUGGUUACAUUCAUUUCCAAGAUGUAUUAAUACAAUUACAGGUCAUAGAGAGGCCUUCAGAUUGAGUCUGAAACAUCCCAUGCCUACAACCAAAAAUUGUAUCGCUGUUCAUAUCACUCUUGUUUGUAUUACACUAUUACCCUAAUAUUCUUGUAGGUAUCGUUCAAUUUGAAGCUUUAAUGUUUAA